This 492-nucleotide ribosomal RNA is filed under the name uncultured bacterium. Its description in RNAcentral is "partial 16S ribosomal RNA". It matches the Rfam family "Bacterial small subunit ribosomal RNA", at positions 28 to 507 of the family's 1533-position model. The record is from RNAcentral.
GACGAACGCUGGCGGCGUGCUUAACACAUGCAAGUCGAACGGAAACGCCCUGCUUUUUUGCGCUUCUCGGUUGCCGAACGGGUGCGUAACACGUGAGUAUCCUACUCUUCUUUUUCGUAUAACUUCACGUAACUAGACUUACUCUCGUAUCGCAUCUCCCGCUCCAUUGAGAGCAUGGGAACUUCUCGGCUUUUGCGAUUGCAUUCGCCGAUGUCGGAUUAGCUAGUUGGGGGGGUGAUUGCCCACCAAGGCGACGAUCCGUAGCUGGUCUGAGAGGAUGAUCAGACACACUGGAACUGAGACACGGUCCAGACUCCUAAGGGAGGCAGCAGUGGGGAAUAUUGGACAAUGGGCGCAAGCCUGAUCCAGCCAUACCGCGUGGGUGAAGAAGGCCUUCGGGUUGUAAAGCCCUUUUGUUGGGAAAGAAAAGCAGCAGGUUAAUACCCCGCUGUUCUGACGGUACCAAAAGAAUAAGCACCGGCUAACUUCGUG